AAUUUCUAUACAUUAUACAGGUUUAAAUAAUCUUUAUUAAUAUUUAGACGGAACUCCGGCAGAAAAAAUAACUUGGAGGUGUUCCAUUAAAGGUUGGGAAUGACACAGGGGGUAUUUCUCCAUCCCCUCUUCCAUCUCCCAUCAAAAAAACCUCAAAAAUCGACGGGUCAUAUUGGAAAGUUUAACC
This is a long non-coding RNA of Pieris rapae (cabbage white), 187 nucleotides long. RefSeq lists it as uncharacterized. The record is from RefSeq and is a predicted model, not a curated record. The transcript has 2 exons. NCBI's taxonomy places the organism in Eukaryota, Metazoa, Arthropoda, Insecta, Lepidoptera, Pieridae.